GUUGAAGCACCAGUUCCCGUACGAUCACUGAGUUUAAGCAAAGUCAAGCAUGGUCAGUACCUCAGUGGGUGACCACUUGGGAAUACCAGAAGCAGCA
Acanthosepion pharaonis is the source of this 97-nucleotide non-coding RNA. The record is from the annotation of a GenBank genome assembly. NCBI's taxonomy places the organism in Eukaryota, Metazoa, Mollusca, Cephalopoda, Sepiida, Sepiidae.